UACAGAGGGUGCAAGCGUUAAUCGGAAUUACUGGGCGUAAAGCGCGCGUAGGUGGUUCGUUAAGUUGGAUGUGAAAGCCCCGGGCUCAACCUGGGAACUGCAUUCAAAACUGUCGAGCUGGAGUAUGGUAGAGGGUGGUGGAAUUUCCUGUGUAGCGGUGAAAUGCGUAGAUAUAGGAAGGAACACCAGUGGCGAAGGCGACCACCUGGACUGAUACUGACACUGAGGUGCGAAAGCGUGGGGAGCAAACAGG
This 253-nucleotide ribosomal RNA is filed under the name uncultured bacterium. Its description in RNAcentral is "partial 16S ribosomal RNA". It matches the Rfam family "Bacterial small subunit ribosomal RNA", at positions 524 to 776 of the family's 1533-position model. The record is from RNAcentral.